GCAGUCGAGCGGACUGAUGGGAGCUUGCUCCCAGAAGUCAGCGGCGGACGGGUGAGUAACACGUGGGCAACCUGCCUGUAAGACUGGGAUAACUCCGGGAAACCGGGGCUAAUACCGGAUAAUUCUUUCCCUCACAUGAGGGAAAGCUGAAAGAUGGUUUCGGCUAUCACUUACAGAUGGGCCCGCGGCGCAUUAGCUAGUUGGUGAGGUAACGGCUCACCAAGGCAACGAUGCGUAGCCGACCUGAGAGGGUGAUCGGCCACACUGGGACUGAGACACGGCCCAGACUCCUACGGGAGGCAGCAGUAGGGAAUCUUCCGCAAUGGACGAAAGUCUGACGGAGCAACGCCGCGUGAGUGAUGAAGGUUUUCGGAUCGUAAAACUCUGUUGUUAGGGAAGAACAAGUACCGGAGUAACUGCCGGUACCUUGACGGUACCUAACCAGAAAGCCACGGCUAACUACGUGCCAGCAGCCGCGGUAAUACGUAGGUGGCAAGCGUUGUCCGGAAUUAUUGGGCGUAAAGCGCGCGCAGGCGGUUCCUUAAGUCUGAUGUGAAAGCCCACGGCUCAACCGUGGAGGGUCAUUGGAAACUGGGGAAC
This 600-nucleotide ribosomal RNA is filed under the name Cytobacillus oceanisediminis. RNAcentral describes it as "bacterial SSU rRNA". It matches the Rfam family "Bacterial small subunit ribosomal RNA", at positions 57 to 641 of the family's 1533-position model. Lineage: Bacteria; Bacillati; Bacillota; Bacilli; Caryophanales; Bacillaceae. The record is from RNAcentral.